Molecule: antisense RNA, 76 nt
Filed under: Pantoea conspicua
Lineage: Bacteria; Pseudomonadati; Pseudomonadota; Gammaproteobacteria; Enterobacterales; Erwiniaceae
Description: SymR antitoxin
Rfam family: SymR antitoxin
Source: RNAcentral
AGUCAUGAUUACUAUUCCCUAAAAUAGUGAUUGUGAUUAGCGGCGCGGGUGUGUUGGCGCACAUCCGUGCCGCGCU